ACCCAUUGCCUGGCUGUCGCCUCCUGCCCCAGCUGGGAGAGCGUUUCUCACAUUAGGUAAGGGCCACCUGACUUGCCCUGACCUUUCUCUUCCUGAGGCAAGGACAACCCAGGAAGGAACUUUUGAACACACGGUCAGGGCUAGCGCCCUUCCUCUGGAGCCGAAGAAAUGGCGAUUCCACCAGUUUGGAACUUGAUCACUUGGGUCCCAGUUCUGGUUUUGGUCUGCGUGGUCUGCAUGUUUGAUCACUUUGAGCCUCAGUUUCCACAUCCAUCAACUCUGGAGAAUAACCCUUCUGAUGCUGGCACAGAAUAUUUGCCACAAUGUAGGAAAGCACUUAGCCUAACACCAGGAACAGAGUACAGACUCAGCAAAUAAUGACAACCAUGGUUAUUAUUUCAAUCCUUAAACAGUGAGAAUUAAAAAAGUAAUAGAUGUAUCAGAAAGUGGUAGAAAUACACCAUCAGGAGUUCCCGUCGUGGUGCAGCAGAAACAAAUCCAACUGGGAACCAUGAGGGUGCGGAUUCGAUCCCUGGCCUCACUUAGUGGAUUAAGGAUCCAGCGUUUCCAUGAGCUUUGGUGUAGGUUGCAGAUGCAGCUUGGAUCUGUUGCCGGCCUACACCACAGCUACAGUUAACGCCAGAUCUGAGCCAAAUCUUCCAUCUACACUACAGCUCAUGGCAUCGCUGGCUCCUUAGCCCACUGAGCAACACCAGGGAUGGAACUUGCAUCCUCAUGGAUACUGGUUGGGUUCUUAACCCAGUGAGCCACAUGGGAACUCCCUGAUUUAAAAAAAAAAAUUUUUUUUUCAUUUAUGCCUGCACCUGUGGCAUAUGGAAGUUCCCAGGCUGGGGACUGAAUCUGAGCUGUAGCUGGGACUGGAGCUGCUGCAGUAAGAUUCUUAACUCACUGAGCCACAGUGGGAACUCCUCUCCUGACUUUUGUAUCUCCAACUCUUCUGUCUGUGCCGUUGCCAGCUGGUAGAGUCUAUCUUUCAAAAUGUGUUCCCAUUGGAAGGGAAGCUGAGGACAUUGAGAAUAAAUAUUUCAAGUCUCCUAAGAUACAGGGCAGGACUCUUUUUUUUUUUUUUUUUUUGUCUUUUGUCUUUUGAGGGCUGCACCCGUGGCAUAUGGAGGUUCCCAGGCUAGGCGUCGGAGCUGCAGCCACUGGCAUGCACCACAGCCACAGCAAUGCCAGAUCCAAGCCAUGUCUGUGACCUACACUAUAGCUCACGGCAACGCUGGAAUCUCAAUCCACUGAUCGAGGCCAGGGAUUGAACCUGCAACCUCAUGGUUCCUAGUUGGAUUCUUUUCCCCUCUGCCACGAUGGGAACUCCAAUAUAGGACUGCUAAGAAAGUUUCUUCCUGCCUUCUUAAAAGAAGGAGGAAGAAGCAGAGAAGGAGGUAGAGAAGAUGAAACAAAUUACCAAAACUUAAAGAAAAUCUGUUUAUGUAUUUAUAUCUGUUGAGGUAUCAUUGAUGUACAAUAUUAUAUAAAUUUUAGGUGUUCGACAUAGUGAGUCACUGCUUUUAAGGGUUAUUUUCCACUUAUAGUUAUUGUAAAAUAUUGGCUGUAUUCCCUCUCUUGUGCAAUAUAUCCUCAUAGCUUAUUUACUUUAAAUCUUGCGGUUUGUACCUCUUAAUCAACACCUAUCCUGCUCCCCCACCCCCGCUGGUAACCACCGGUUUGUUCUUUAUAUCUGCGAGUCUGCUUCUUUUUUAUUAUAUUCACUAGUUUUUUUAAAGUAUUAUUUAUUUAUUUAUUUGUAUUUUUGCCAUUUCUUGGGCCGCUCCCUCGGCAUAUGGAGGUUCCCAGGCUAGGGGUCGAAUCGGAGCUGUAGCCACUGGCCUACACCACAGCCACAGCAACACAGGAUCUGGGCGUCGUCUGCAGCUUACACCACAGCUCAUGGCAACACUGGAUCCUUCACCCACUGAGCAAGGCCAGGGAUUGAACCUGAAACCUCAUGGUUCCUAGUCAGAUUUGUUAACCACUGAACCACGACGGGAACUCCAUAGUUUGUUUUAUUUUUUAGAUUCCACAUAUAAGUGAUACCACACAGUAUUUGUCUUUCUCUGCCUGACUUAUUUCACUUAACAUAAUACCCUCUAGGUUCAUCUGUGCUAUUGCCAAUGGCAGAAUUUCAUUAGUUUUCAUGGCUGAGUAGUACCCAACUCUGUGUGUGUGUGUGUGUGUCUGUGUAUGUGUGUGUGUGUGUGUGUGUGUGUGUGUGUGUGUGUGUAAAACACAUCUUCUUGAUCCAUUCAUCUGGUGGAAGGACAUGUAAGUUGCUUCCAUGUCUUGGCUAUUGUAAAUAAUGCUGCUACAAACAAUGGGUUGCAUGUAUCUUUCAGAAUUCGCGUUUUCAUUUUUUUCCGGGUAUAUACCCAGGAGUGGAAUUGCUGGAUCCUAUGGAAAUUCUAUUUCUAAUUUUUCGAAGGCCCUCCAUCCUGUUUUUCCAUGCUGGCUGCACCCAUUUACAUUCCCACCAAUUUUAAAGAUGGGCUUGAAACAAACCAGAAAGUAUAUUAAGAGAGGCAGCUCAUGAGAAGUCAAUUCCUAAGGCUCUGGGUCUCUAUCAUUCUCCCGUCCUUCUCUUUCAGUAUAAAGAAUGGGCUAAAAUCCAGAAUGGGAUAGAAAUGAGAUUAUUUUUAUCUGAUGGACAAUCUUAUCCUCUGAAUCAUAUCUUCUCUGUGCUUGUAAAGCGCCCUGUCCUGUUCUCUAGGCACCUCACGUCUGUAAAUGUUAUGAACAUACAUACGUAGGGAUACUGCUUGGCAGAAAAGCCUACGGAAGUCUGCAGUCCCCUGCAGUUUAUGGGGAGUUAGUUCUGGGAGGCCCUGAGCUGGCUGGCCUUACCAGCAAACUGCUCUGCAAUAGCUCUGCAGACCACCACUCUCCCAAAGCCAACAAGAGGAGACACUGGUAAAUACUACAGAAUGGAACCUUCCUCCAUUUCCCAACCUUUCUAGUGGACCAAAGUAUCAGUCAGUGUAAUGUUUGCUGGGACCAGUAAGUCUGAAGAUUCAUUUGUAAGGCUGGGGAAAUAAAACGUUUUUGAGAAAUUCAAUUGCCUGUGGUUGGUACUGUACCCCCCCACAUUCAUUUCAAACUAUUUAUUUUCUUUAAAAAAGUGUUUAUUAAACACUAGCUGUUUAUGAUACUAUGUUCGUUUCAGGUGUACAGCUUUAGAUUCUUUUCCAUUAUAGAUUGUUACGAGAUAUUGAAUAGAGUGCCCUGUGUUCUCCAGUAAACUCGUUGUUUAUGUAUUUUAAAUAUAACAGUGUGUAUCUAUUAAUCCCAUACUCCUAAUUUAUCCCUUCCCCUCCCCGUCCCACUCUGGGAACCGUAUGUUUGUUUUCUAGGUCUUUGAGUCUAUUUUAAUUUUGUACAUAGGUUGAAUGGCAUUCUUUUCAUUUCCAACUAUUGAAAUUGGAAAAACUGUCUGCUGUUUUAGGGUGCACUUAUUAUCUUGAAAAUAAAUCAUUUCGUUGUGGUGGUGCUUGUUGUUCCUGCUCCAGUUGGUAGGUUGGCUCUUGUAUCCACAGGGUUCUUCUGCCCUGGGCUUCUAGUCACAGCUAGGCUAUGGUUCUCCAGCCAGAUGAUGAAAUAGGAGUUUUUAAGGCAAAGACUGCAUGGGCGGUGUUACUAAAUAUAGUGCCUGUGUAUGUGCACGUGUGUGUUUCUCUCUCAAAAGUGCUUUGUAAAAAUUACAUAAAUACUGGUAUGGAAGUUGCGGUGUGACCUGAGAAAGGUCGAUUUGAAAGUAUUCAUUCCAUUGGUAAAUGCAUCUUCCCUGAAAAUUCAUCACUACAACUGCUGGUCCCAUUGAAAUCUCCUUAGGCUCUCCUUUCCUAAACCCUUAUUGGGAAAAGGACCCUCCCCCCUCGUGUGGCAAGUUGGGGGCUGUUUCUUUGAGUCUAACUCCCUAUUUCUUUCAUAGUUCAAACAGGGAAAUUCUAGUGUUUACUGGGCCAGGGGUCGGGGUGGGGGGAGAGGAGUGCCUACUUUCUAUCUGUUGCACCACCCUGGCUUAAGUGACAAAACAAAGGCAAGUCCUGGAAAGCCGGGACUCUUAAAGAAAAGGUGAAAUUAUGGUCUUCAUUUUAGGCAAAACCUUCAAAUCCUUUGAGUAACAUGUUGGGGUGUCAUUUAGAUCCUCCCACACACACUGCUGGGAAAAAUAGAAAGAUCUGUAGCCUGACUUAUGCCGGUGAUUGUAACUUCAGCUUAAAAUACAGUCUCCUCUGAUUCCUCCCUGAACUCAAGGAGAUAUACAUCUUUCCACCAAAUUGAGACAAGAAUCUAAUAUUUAUUGAAAACUUUUGAGCACAUUUGUUCAAAAAAGUGCUUCCAAUCACUCAUCAGAGGCCCAAUGAAGCCACGAAUAGCUUCCUCCCCAUUUUAAGUAUUUUUUGUUUUCUGGUUGCAUACUCAGUGUAUGGAAAUUCCCAGUCCAGGGACUGAAUCUGAGCCACAGCCGUGACCUACACCACAGCUGCAGCAACGUUGGAUCCUUUAACCCAUUGUACGGGGACUAGGGACCCAACAUAUGGCUCUGCAGAGACUUUAUUGCAACACAGCAGGAACCCCAGCUUCCUCCCCUUUUUUUUGCUUUUUGCUUUUUUAGGUUCAGCAUGUGGAAGUUCCCAGGCUAGGGGUCGAGUUGGAGCUGCAGCUGCCGGCCUAUACCACAGCCACAGCCACACCAGAUCUGAGCCUUAUCUGUGAUCUGCACCACAGCUCAUGGCAACGCCAGAUCAUUAACCCACUGAGCAAGGUCAGGGAUUGAACCCUCAUCCUCAUGGAUACCAGUCAGUUUCAUUUCUGCUGAGCCACAGUGGGAACUCCCCUCCUCAUUUUUAGUGGAGAAAUGAGUCAGAGAAGGCAAGUGACUUGCCCCAAAUGACCCAGUUAGGAAGUGGCAAAGCUGGUACUCAGAGUGGGUUUAUCUAACCAAACAGUUUUAAAAAGUGAACUUAGUUUGUGAAACAAACUUGUGGGUUGGUAUUAUCGUCUCCAAUUUCACCAAUCACUAGGCCCAAGGCCAAGUCAUACACAAGUCAUACAAGAAAGAUCAGCAUGAUGCAGAACAGAGAAGACGAUAAAGGUUCCUGGGAGCUUCCUCCACGCUGUGUGUCCAAGUGCAUCAUGGAUGCUGCUCCCGCCACCUCAUAAAGGAAUCCCCUUCUGGAAAGGGGCUCCUCUUUGAGGGAUGGUGCCUUUGCCUUGCUCUGAGGGCUCAGAAGGCUCGUUGGGUGUGCACCGAUGCAGAAACAUAUGGCGCCUCCUCUCUGCGUCUUAUCACUCAAAGAAGGUAUGAAAACUUGGCGACUGGAGGCCUUCUUUUCUGGAGUCACCAGAGUUCAGCUCCAAGAACCUGAAAGAAAAUGUUUGGCAUGGAGCUUGAAGGCUUCCAUCAGGGAUUCUUUGAGUCCCUCUUGGUGGCACAGCAGCCAGAUGCACCCAUUCAACACUGGGCCUAUGUGAGUGGCACUGAGCAUAAUGUCUUGGGCAAAGCAAUGCAGUCCCUCCGCCCUGCAAUAACCACCUGUCCUGGUGACAGCUUCUUCCAGCCAGUUCUUCAGUUGAGCGCAGAAUGGUGAGGGUCAAAUACAGGAUCUGUUCUUCUUGCCCGUGAAGACUAUUUUUUUGCCCCAUGCCUAUGGCAUGCAGAAGUUCCGGAGCCAGGGAUCGAACUUGUGCCAUAGCAGUGGCAGCAGUGACAACACUGGAUCCUUAACCUGCUGAACCAGCAGGGAAUCCAUGAGGUAAGGUCCUAGGAGCUCCUUGGUGGUCUAGCAGGUUGAGGGCCAGGCCUUGUGCUGCUGCUGCUCGGAUAAUGCUGUGGUUCUGGCCCUGGAACUUUG
RNAcentral lists this long non-coding RNA (5870 nucleotides) under Sus scrofa (pig). RNAcentral describes it as "lncRNA (ENSSSCG00000046655.1)". The record is from RNAcentral. Lineage: Eukaryota; Metazoa; Chordata; Mammalia; Artiodactyla; Suidae.